CAGUAGCCGCGGUAAUACGUAGGUCCCGAGCGUUGUCCAGAUUUAUUGGGCGUAAAGGGAGCGCAGGCGGUUUAGUAAGUCUGAAGUUAAAGGCAUUGGCUCAACCAAUGUAUGCUUUGGAAACUGUUAGACUUGAGUGCAGAAGGGGAGAGUGGAAUUCCAUGUGUAGCGGUGAAAUGCGUAGAUAUAUGGAGGAACACCGGUGGCGAAAGCGGCUCUCUGGUCUGUCACUGACGCUGAGGCUCGAAAGCGUGGGUAGCGAACAGGAUUAGAUACCCCAGUAGUCCCUGUCUCUUAUACC
RNAcentral lists this ribosomal RNA (301 nucleotides) under uncultured bacterium. RNAcentral's name for it is "partial 16S ribosomal RNA". It matches the Rfam family "Bacterial small subunit ribosomal RNA", at positions 509 to 808 of the family's 1533-position model. The record is from RNAcentral.